This 465-nucleotide ribosomal RNA is filed under the name uncultured bacterium. Its description in RNAcentral is "partial 16S ribosomal RNA". It matches the Rfam family "Bacterial small subunit ribosomal RNA", at positions 28 to 507 of the family's 1533-position model. The record is from RNAcentral.
GACGAACGCUGGCGGCGUGCUUAACACAUGCAAGUCGAACGGAAAGGCCCCUUUGGGGGUACUCGAGUGGCGAACGGGUGAGUAACACGUGAGUAACCUGCCCUUGACUUCGGGAUAACUUCAGGAAACUGGGGCUAAUACCGGAUAGGAAUCCUUGAUGCAUGGUGGGGGUUGGAAAGCUUCGGCGGUUUUGGAUGGACUCGCGGCUUAUCAGCUUGUUGGUGGGGUAGUGGCUUACCAAGGCUUUGACGGGUAGCCGGCCUGAGAGGGCGACCGGCCACAUUGGGACUGAGAUACGGCCCAGACUCCUACGGGAGGCAGCAGUGGGGAAUAUUGCACAAUGGGCGGAAGCCUGAUGCAGCAACGCCGCGUGCGGGAGGACGGCCUUCGGGUUGUAAACCGCUUUCAGCAGGGGCGAAGCUUGUGGUGACGGUACCUGCAGAAGAAGCACCGGCUAACUACGUG